This 253-nucleotide ribosomal RNA is filed under the name uncultured bacterium. RNAcentral describes it as "partial 16S ribosomal RNA". It matches the Rfam family "Bacterial small subunit ribosomal RNA", at positions 524 to 776 of the family's 1533-position model. The record is from RNAcentral.
UACGUAGGGGGCAAGCGUUGUCCGGAUUUAUUGGGCGUAAAGAGCGUGUAGGCGGCCAGACAGGUCCGUUGUGAAAACUCGAGGCUCAACUUCGAGAUGUCGAUGGAAACCGUCUGGCUAGAGUCCGGAAGAGGAGUGUGGAAUUCCUGGUGUAGCGGUGAAAUGCGCAGAUAUCAGGAAGAACACCUAUGGCGAAGGCAGCACUCUGGGACGGUACUGACGCUGAGACGCGAAAGCGUGGGGAGCGAACAGG